RNAcentral lists this long non-coding RNA (909 nucleotides) under Carassius auratus (goldfish). Its description in RNAcentral is "lncRNA (ENSCARG00000060255.1)". The record is from RNAcentral. Lineage: Eukaryota; Metazoa; Chordata; Actinopteri; Cypriniformes; Cyprinidae.
UUAUAUAUGUAUCUCUUCAUCUUUAUGUUUAUCUCUCUCUCUCUAUAUAUAUAUACAUUUCCUAGUAGAUUGAGGAAGAUGAUGAAGCAGAAAUAUGAGGAAGAGAUCCAGAUGCUCCAGCAGGAUAUUAAAAUGCUGGAGUCUGAACAGGAGGAGACUUUAAGAAAGUCAGUCUGUAAGGAAAGAGGAGGAGCACAAAAACACUCUUGCAAAGCUGCUCUCAAAAGUCAGAGAGCCGGAAAGAAAAACCUCAGACAACAGACAGAAAUGAAUGGGAUCGCAGCUGGUUGCAGCAAACCCGUUAAUUUAAAAAAACCAUUAGUAAUAAUCUAUUUUAUACGUUUUGGGUUUUUCUUAGAAAUAGUUCACCAAAAAUAAAAAAAGUUGCUUAAAAUGUACUCACCUUCAGGCCAUCAAAGAUGUAGAUGAGUUUGUUUCUGGAAGCAGAUUUGGAGAAAUGUAACACUUGCUCACCAAUGGAUCCAUUGCAGUGAAUGGGUGCCGUCAGAAGCAUCAGCUGAUAAAACAUCACAAUGAUCCACAAGUAAUCCACAAUACUGCACUUCCUUAAUUUUGAAGCAAAAAGCUGUUUGUAAUAAACAAAUCCAUCAUUAAGACCGCUAUUGCUAAACACUAGUUCUCUGUCCUUAAUAUUGCUUUCUCCAGUGAAAAAGUUCUCUGUUGAAUUGGGAGAGAAAUGCAUAUGGAGGAUUCACAGGAGGAAGUGUUAUGGAUUAUGGAGUUCUUGGCCAAAAGCAAUGGUUUGAAUUUAAAAUGCCUUAAUGAUGGAUUUGUUUUUUACAAACGUAGUCAGGGUUUGAUGCAAACAGGACAUGGCCUUAAAGCACCACUAUGUAAUUUUUUCUGUCUUCUAAAUUUGCUAAAUAUAAUGAGCGAGUGCAUCAUAAA